ACGACCUUACUUGAACAGGAUCUGUUCUAUAGGCUCGUACCGCUGCAUCCUUUACCAAUAAGGAGGCAAGCACUUCAGUCUGGUUGAUGCAUUCUAACCUCUUGGCCAGAGCGUGAUUAAUGGCCUGGAAUUCACCUGAUGGGUGCCAUCCGACGGCUGUAGAGGAUCGUUCCUGUUACAGUUCAUACUGGUGCAGGGUGGCUCAGAGGUUGUCUGACAGACU
Molecule: small nucleolar RNA, 223 nt
Filed under: Triticum aestivum (bread wheat)
Lineage: Eukaryota; Viridiplantae; Streptophyta; Magnoliopsida; Poales; Poaceae
Description: Plant small nucleolar RNA U3
Rfam family: Plant small nucleolar RNA U3
About the family: Small nucleolar RNAs (snoRNAs) are involved in the processing and modification of rRNA in the nucleolus. There are two main classes of snoRNAs: the box C/D class, and the box H/ACA class.
Source: Rfam by way of RNAcentral